This is an unclassified non-coding RNA of Erinaceus europaeus (western European hedgehog), 316 nucleotides long. Its record names the gene 7SK. It matches the Rfam family "7SK RNA". Rfam says of the family: 7SK was discovered as an abundant small nuclear RNA in the mid-70s but a possible function has only recently been suggested. The record is from Ensembl. NCBI's taxonomy places the organism in Eukaryota, Metazoa, Chordata, Mammalia, Eulipotyphla, Erinaceidae.
GGAUGUGAGGGCGAUCUGGCUGCUACAUCUGUCACCCCAUUGAUCACCAGGGUUGGUUCUGCUGAUCUGACUGGCUCCGUGGUUGUCCCCUUCCUCCCCCACCGCUCCAUGUUGCGUGCCUCCCAAAGCUAUGUGCUUGGUCAACAGGAUAGCCUUCCUCGAAUAGAGAUGGACCAGUCUUCCGUCAAGGGAAUACGAGGAGUUGUACUCCCCUGCUAGAACCUCCAAACAAGCUCUCAAGGAAACCAUAUUACAAAGCGAUCAUGCACACUGUCCAAAGUUACAUAUAAAGUCACACAUGAGGCUGCCAUAGUUU